Molecule: long non-coding RNA, 2744 nt
Organism: Heterocephalus glaber (naked mole-rat)
Lineage: Eukaryota; Metazoa; Chordata; Mammalia; Rodentia; Bathyergidae
Source: Ensembl
GGCCCGCGUGGGUGAGGGCCUGCUCGAGCCUCGGGAGAGUUGCAUUUCUCCGGAGAAGAGCGGGAAAAGGGCCAGGACAGCCCUCUUUGCUUUGCAGAAUGCUUGAGCAAAAAUCCAUUCCUUGGAGAACCACACUGGCUUCAAGUUACCAACCCUUCACACUUAUUAGGGCCAUCUAGGGGAAACAGCCCUAGAAGAGGCGGCGGCUUUAACGUCAGAACACUUGGAUUCAUUUCCUGUGCUGCUGUUUCCCAGCUGUAACAAGGCUUUAAAUCCUUCCCAGCCUCAUUUUCUUCCUCUGAAAUGGGCACAAUACUGAAAUGAGGAAUCGAGGAGAUACAGUAUGGAAAACAUUUAGGAACGGUCCCUAAAGAGCGGAUGACCCCUAGCAUGAGACUCAGACGAGAAGCGGGGAGAGGAGUCAGAGAGUGAGACAAGAUCCAACUUUGGCAUCUGAAGGUUUUUUGAAGGAGUGGACAUCAGACCAGGGUUUAAAAGAAAGGUGGGUGUUAAGAAAUAGAAAUGGGAGAGGUGGCUGGAAGCAGAAGGGCGUUCUAGGCCGAAAGAACCCAACGAGCAAGGCCCUGGAAGCGAGAAAAUUCGAGUGAGUUCUAGGAAUAACUUGUUUUGUCAGGGGAACCAAUCGGGUCACAAAGCAAGACCGCCUGUGGUGAAGGGGCCAGGUCACUUAAGGUUCUUGCAUAGAUGGUUAUUGACCGACCAACUGACUGAUUGAUUUAAAGUUGUCCUGUGAGUUCUUCAGAGAAACUGGUGCCGGAACCACUGAGCUACAUCCCCAGCCAAACAUACUCUUGAUUGUUGGCAUGAUUCAGUUCCUCAGGCUGUUCACCGAGGGCUCCAUUGCUUGCUGACUGUUGGUUGAGACACAUCUCAGUUCCUUGUCAUGUGGGGCUUGCCAUAGAGCAGCUGGCAGUACAGAGACUGGCUUCCACCACAGAGAGAAGAGAGCGCCAGCAAGCCAAAAGAUAGUCUGUCUGUCCCUGGAAGUAUGGCGUCUGUAUUUGUCUGCUUUCUGUUACUAUAAGAAACUACCUGGGGCUGUAUAACAUGUUCAAAAUGAGGUUUAUUCAGAUGACAGUUUUGGAAGCUCAAAGUCCAAGCAGCCUGCCUCCUGUGAGGUGAGGCUGCCCCUGGCGGCAUCCCCCUUGUUGGAGGGUACUGCAGCAUGAGUGUGUGAACACGGGAGAGAUCACAUGAUGAGACAGCAUUCAGAGUGAGAGGAGCGGCCAGGGUUGCUCUUUUUAUACCCAUUGUCUGUUGAGAACUAACUCAGAGUCCUGCAAGGACCCUGUAACCUCUUCCUAGAGUGGAGCCCCACUGGAUGCCACCUCUGCACCGCUGCACGGAGAACCAACCCCUGCCACAUGAAUCUUGGGAGACACCCUCAGACCAACCCCGACCACAGCAACAUCCCAUCACGUUGUCUUAUCGUAUUCUUUAGGAGGAAGUCACUGGGUCUCACCUGUGCCCAGUGGAGGAGACUGCACAGGCUGUGAAUAUCAGGAAGCUGGGAUCAUUGCGGGUGCUUUUAUUCCGAGACUUAGCACACAGCCUUCACUGCCUGGAGCACUCCCUUCCCUCAUGGCAGCCCUGAAAGCCUCAUGCAGAUCGGCAGCUCCUCCUCGUUCACACAUCUGUCAUCUGGUGAUCACAGUAACAACGUAACCAUAACCGUAACCGCCAGCCCUCACUGAGGAGUUCCUCUGACCCCGACAUUGCUCUCGGCCCUUUUCGUGCCUUAAGUGAACAGUAUGUAGUUCUUCCUGUGGCAGGGCCGAGAGGCAUUCCUCCAGCAAUGGUGUAGCAGGGUCCCUUCAGCGCGCCUCUGCUAAGCUGGGGAGAGCUUGGUAGUGGACCCGAGUCUUCGAACUCAAGGACUUUAUAGGCCAGAGUAAGAGACAGAAAAGCACAAAAGCAAGUAGAAUGCAACCUGAAGUGCUGUAAUAAGCCUAAGUGAAGGGCAUUUCAUAGCGCACACACCCAACAAUUCUUGCUGGUGGUAACAUUUCAAUUCAAAUGUGAGGAAUAAGUAGCAGUUAGCCUGGAAAAAUAAGGAGGUUAGAUGUGCCAGGGAGAUGAAGAGCAAAAGUGAGGAAACAGAAACAAGCCUGAGGAGCAGUGGGGAACCACCAGUAGGGCUGCACAAAGCACGCAGGCGGAAGAGGAGCGAGAAACGCUAGUGCCAGUGAGCGGGUAACACGCGUGGGAGGAGGCACUGCUCUGGGCUUGCACGUGUACCUCCCCCCUCCAGAGUAACCCCCCAGUGCAGGAGGCACACUUUUAUAGCUGGGGAAACUGACUCACGGCACACAUCUGAAAUGUGACAGCUGUAGGCGCCAGCAGGACGGGGUGUGGGGCUGUGGCAGAUCAAAGCAUCUGGCCUGAACCUGAGCUCUGGUCGGACCAAAGGAGGCCACCUAGUUGACACUUCCGGCGGGGUGGGGAAUGGAUGGAGUGGGCAGGACGGGAGGCAGGGAGCCUCUCUGGGAAAGGGAUGCGAUGCCGUAGGGGGCGGCACACGGCCACCCGAGCUGAGGUGGCAAAGUAGAGGAGAGAGGAGGAGAGCUAGGUUCUGGGCAUGAUUCCAUAAAACCGGAAAGAAGCUGGGCUGGGGAACAUGGCUCGGUGUCAUGGCGGGACUGGCUACAUUGAGAUGCCAGAAAGAUGGGCCCACUGGGCAGCUGGACAUGGUGUAGUGUUCCAAUGCGAAGGCAGAGACUGGG